Molecule: ribosomal RNA, 123 nt
Filed under: Megaleporinus obtusidens
Lineage: Eukaryota; Metazoa; Chordata; Actinopteri; Characiformes; Anostomidae
Source: RNAcentral
GCUUACGGCCAUACCAGCCUGAAGCSCGCCCGAUCUCGUCUGAUCUCGGAAGCUAAGCAGGGCCGGGCCUGGUUAGUACUUGGAUGGGAGACCGCCUGGGAAUACCAGGUGCUGUAAGCUUUU